UACGUAGGGUGCGAGCGUUGUCCGGAAUUAUUGGGCGUAAAGAGCUUGUAGGCGGUUUGUCGCGUCUGCCGUGAAAAUCCGGGGCUCAACCCCGGACUUGCGGUGGGUACGGGCAGACUAGAGUGUGGUAGGGGAGACUGGAAUUCCUGGUGUAGCGGUGAAAUGCGCAGAUAUCAGGAGGAACACCGAUGGCGAAGGCAGGUCUCUGGGCCACUACUGACGCUGAGGCGCGAAAGCGUGGGGAGCAAACAGG
Molecule: ribosomal RNA, 253 nt
Filed under: uncultured bacterium
Lineage: Bacteria
Description: partial 16S ribosomal RNA
Rfam family: Bacterial small subunit ribosomal RNA
Source: RNAcentral